CAGUCGCCGCGGGAAUACAGAGGGUGCGAGCGUUAAUCGGAUUUACUGGGCGUAAAGCGUGCGUAGGCGGCUUCUUAAGUCGGAUGUGAAAUCCCUGAGCUUAACUUAGGAAUUGCAUUCGAUACUGGGAAGCUAGAGUAUGGGAGAGGAUGGUAGAAUUCCAGGUGUAGCGGUGAAAUGCGUAGAGAUCUGGAGGAAUACCGAUUGCGAAGGCAGCCAUCUGGCCUAAUACUGACGCUGAGGUACGAAAGCAUGGGGAGCAAACAGGAUUAGAUACCCCUGUAGUCCCUGUCUCUUAUAC
This 301-nucleotide ribosomal RNA is filed under the name uncultured bacterium. RNAcentral's name for it is "partial 16S ribosomal RNA". It matches the Rfam family "Bacterial small subunit ribosomal RNA", at positions 509 to 807 of the family's 1533-position model. The record is from RNAcentral.